RNAcentral lists this ribosomal RNA (429 nucleotides) under Chloroflexota bacterium. RNAcentral's name for it is "Chloroflexi bacterium partial 16S ribosomal RNA". It matches the Rfam family "Bacterial small subunit ribosomal RNA", at positions 355 to 776 of the family's 1533-position model. Lineage: Bacteria; Bacillati; Chloroflexota. The record is from RNAcentral.
UGGGGAAUAUUGCACAAUGGGCGCAAGCCUGAUGCAGCCAUGCCGCGUGUAUGAAGAAGGCCUUCGGGUUGUAAAGUACUUUCAGCGGGGAGGAAGGGAGUAAAGUUAAUACCUUUGCUCAUUGACGUUACCCGCAGAAGAAUCACCGGCUAACUCCGUGCCAGCAGCCGCGGUAAUACGGAGGGUGCAAGCGUUAAUCGGAAUUACUGGGCGUAAAGCGCACGCAGGCGGUCUGUCAAGUCGGAUGUGAAAUCCCCGGGCUCAACCUGGGAACUGCAUUCGAAACUGGCAGGCUAGAGUCUUGUAGAGGGGGGUAGAAUUCCAGGUGUAGCGGUGAAAUGCGUAGAGAUCUGGAGGAAUACCGGUGGCGAAGGCGGCCCCCUGGACAAAGACUGACGCUCAGGUACGAAAGCGUGGGGAGCAAACAGG